GGCGAAAGCCUUUUUUGGUAAUACCACAUCUUUCAUCAAGGUUCGCUGGCUAUUGACGUCAAUCUUGUAACAGAUAUACGCUGUUUUUCUUUCAAAGGUUACAUUAACAUUUUUGUUUCGUGAGUUUCAAAAAAAAAAAAGUUUCGCCAAUAACACACAUCAGCUCGGUUUGUAAAUAGCGAGUCUGUCGAACCUAGCAAAUUUGUCCGGUUUCGUUGUCGUACAAAAACCUUCAGCACGUCAAAUUACAAGAGGCCGAGAUCGAGCUAAUAACAUGUAGCUUCCGUAUAUCUGUAACAAAUACUAGUAAUUAUUAUUGAUCCCCGAGUUAAAUCGGGCGGCGCGGUCAAUCUCGGCCAUCGUCCCGGGGCUGAGAACGACGCUGUUGGAGGCGCACCACUCCAAGUAGGCCUCCUGCAUGGACAAUGCCGCCGGCGGCGGCGGUGCUGGGGAUGGCUGCCGAUCAUCCCGAGCAGGAGGAGGAGGCGGCGCGCGCGGAGGGGCGGCGCCGGUGAGCCUCUGCACGGUGAGGGCGAAGUCCUGCGGCGGCACCCGGUAGAGGUGGUCCUGGGCGGGAUCCCGCCGUGUCCUGCUCCUUGCCGCCGCCGGCGGCGUAUGUGUCACCGGCGGUCCCUGCCACUGCUGAUUAUUCUCCAUUGCUUGAUCUGGAGACGAGGCUAGCCAAUUCGCUCUGUCGAUUAGCGGUGCGCGCGGUCAAGUGCUGGCGAAGCUUGGUCGUACGUACUACGUAGCAUCCCAACAAGGGUAUAUAUAUGCCGG
This 780-nucleotide long non-coding RNA is filed under the name Hordeum vulgare. RNAcentral describes it as "long non-coding RNA (HVUL_LNC020779)". The record is from RNAcentral. Lineage: Eukaryota; Viridiplantae; Streptophyta; Magnoliopsida; Poales; Poaceae.